GACGAACGCUGGCGGCGUGCUUAACACAUGCAAGUCGAGCGGUAAGGCCCUUUCGGGGGUACACGAGCGGCGAACGGGUGAGUAACACGUGGGUGACCUGCCCUCAGCUCUGGGAUAAGCCCGGGAAACUGGGUCUAAUACUGGAUAUGACUCCAUGACGCAUGUUGUGGGGUGGAAAGCCUUGUGCGGCUGAGGAUGGGCCCGCGGCCUAUCAGCUUGUUGGUGGGGGGAUGG
Molecule: ribosomal RNA, 234 nt
Filed under: uncultured bacterium
Lineage: Bacteria
Description: partial 16S ribosomal RNA
Rfam family: Bacterial small subunit ribosomal RNA
Source: RNAcentral